UAACGGCGUCGAGCGGCGGACGGGUGAGUAAUGCCUAGGAAAUUGCCCUGAUGUGGGGGAUAACCAUUGGAAACGAUGGCUAAUACCGCAUAAUACCUACGGGUCAAAGAGGGGGACCUUCGGGCCUCUCGCGUCAGGAUAUGCCUAGGUGGGAUUAGCUAGUUGGUGAGGUAAUGGCUCACCAAGGCGACGAUCCCUAGCUGGUCUGAGAGGAUGAUCAGCCACACUGGAACUGAGACACGGUCCAGACUCCUACGGGAGGCAGCAGUGGGGAAUAUUGCACAAUGGGCGCAAGCCUGAUGCAGCCAUGCCGCGUGUGUGAAGAAGGCCUUCGGGUUGUAAAGCACUUUCAGUCGUGAGGAAGGUANUGUAGUUAAUAGCUGCAUUAUUUGACGUUAGCGACAGAAGAAGCACCGGCUAACUCCGUGCCAGCAGCCGCGGUAAUACGGAGGGUGCGAGCGUUAAUCGGAAUUACUGGGCGUAAAGCGCAUGCAGGUGGUUUGUUAAGUCAGAUGUGAAAGCCCGGGGCUCAACCUCGGAAUAGCAUUUGAAACUGGCAGACUAGAGUACUGUAGAGGGGGGUAGAAUUUCAGGUGUAGCGGUGAAAUGCGUAGAGAUCUGAAGGAAUACCGGUGGCGAAGGCGGCCCCCUGGACAGAUACUGACACUCAGAUGCGAAAGCGUGGGGAGCAAACAGGAUUAAGAUACCCCUGGUAGUCCACGCCGUAAAACGAUGUCUACUUGGAGGUUGUGGCCUUGAGCCGUGGCUUUCGGAGCUAACGCGUUAAGUAGACCGCCUGGGGAGUACGGUCGCAAGAUUAAAACUCAAAUGAAUUGACGGGGGCCCGCACAAGCGGUGGAGCAUGUGGUUUAAUUCGAUGCAACGCGAAGAACCUUACCUACUCUUGACAUCCAGAGAACUUUCCAGAGAUGGAUUGGUGCCUUCGGGAACUCUGAGACAGG
Molecule: ribosomal RNA, 962 nt
Filed under: Vibrio harveyi
Lineage: Bacteria; Pseudomonadati; Pseudomonadota; Gammaproteobacteria; Vibrionales; Vibrionaceae
Description: bacterial SSU rRNA
Rfam family: Bacterial small subunit ribosomal RNA
Source: RNAcentral